Molecule: transfer RNA, 64 nt
Filed under: Laevapex fuscus
Lineage: Eukaryota; Metazoa; Mollusca; Gastropoda; Ancylidae
Description: tRNA-His
Source: RNAcentral
UUAAAGAUAGGUUAAAUAAUAAAACCAAAGAUUUGUGGAAUCUUAAAUUCAUACGAUCUUUAAA